GACGAACGCUGGCGGCGUGCCUAAUACAUGCAAGUCGAGCGCAGGAAAUCGACGGAACCCUUCGGGGGGAAGUCGACGGAAUGAGCGGCGGACGGGUGAGUAACACGUAAAGAACCUGCCCUCAGGUCUGGGAUAACCACGAGAAAUCGGGGCUAAUACCGGAUGGGUCAUCGGACCGCAUGGUCCGAGGAUGAAAGGCGCUUCGGCGUCGCCUGGGGAUGGCUUUGCGGUGCAUUAGCUAGUUGGUGGGGUAAUGGCCCACCAAGGCGACGAUGAAUAGCCGGGCGGAGAGGGUGCUCGGCCACACUGGGACUGAGACACGGCCCAGACUCCUACGGGAGGCAGCAGUAGGGAAUCUUCCACAAUGGACGAAAGUCUGAUGGAGCAACGCCGCGUGAACGAUGAAGGCCUUCGGGUCGUAAAGUUCUGUUGUAAGGGAAGAACAAGUGCCGCAGGCAAUGGCGGCACCUUGACGGUACCUUGCGAGAAAGCCACGGCUAACUACGUGCCAGCCGCCGCGGUAA
Molecule: ribosomal RNA, 524 nt
Filed under: uncultured bacterium
Lineage: Bacteria
Description: partial 16S ribosomal RNA
Rfam family: Bacterial small subunit ribosomal RNA
Source: RNAcentral